UCUGCUCAGUGUCUUGCGCCGUCUUUGGCCCACAUGAACUCUGCUGCGGUGUCAACUGAAGUGCAGAACAAGGAUUAUGUCACAUAAUAACUAUUGUAACUUAGAGAAACUAAAAAGCCAUGUAUCAUGUUUCUGUGUGAUUUCUGUGUGACAAGUGCUCUCUCUCUUUCUCCUGUUUUCGGUGUUUUAACAGUUUAAUCAGAUUAUAUGAGGGAGUUUUAUUUUGUUUAGUAAGUUCUAAGUAAUGGAAAAGUUUUAAAAUUAACUACCUUUUACUAAGAAAGUAAAUGUUUUUCUGAUUCUAAUUUAACCAUCUCUUUCUACUAUAAUUCUCUGCUGCUUGCUUUUAAAGACUAAAAAGGAUUCCAUAUGCAGAAUCUAUUUGAGUUCUUGAGUUUUUUCUUCUUGAAUAAGUAGAUAUGGGAACACAUGCAGUCUGUACAGCAUACACUGACACAGAGG
RNAcentral lists this long non-coding RNA (462 nucleotides) under Bos taurus (domestic cattle). RNAcentral's name for it is "long non-coding RNA NONBTAT021841". Lineage: Eukaryota; Metazoa; Chordata; Mammalia; Artiodactyla; Bovidae. The record is from RNAcentral.